AGACCCGAAACCCGGUGAUCUAGCCAUGGGCAGGUUGAAGGUUGGGUAACACUAACUGGAGGACCGAACCGACUAAUGUUGAAAAAUUAGCGGAUGACCUGUGGCUGGGGGUGAAAGGCCAAUCAAACCGGGAGAUAGCUGGUUCUCCCCGAAAGCUAUUUAGGUAGCGCCUCGUGAAUUCAUCUCCGGGGGUAGAGCACUGUUUCGGCUAGGGGGCCAUCCCGGCUUACCAACCCGAUGCAAACUGCGAAUACCGGAGAAUGUUAUCACGGGAGACACACGGCGGGUGCUAACGUCCGUCGUGAAGAGGGAAACAACCCAGACCGCCAGCUAAGGUCCCAAAGUCAUGGUUAAGUGGGAAACGAUGUGGGAAGGCCCAGACAGCCAGGAUGUUGGCUUAGAAGCAGCCAUCAUUUAAAGAAAGCGUAAUAGCUCACUGGUCGAGUCGGCCUGCGCGGAAGAUGUAACGGGGCUAAACCAUGCACCGAAGCUGCGGCAGCGACGCUUAUGCGUUGUUGGGUAGGGGAGCGUUCUGUAAGCCU
Molecule: ribosomal RNA, 542 nt
Filed under: Salmonella enterica
Lineage: Bacteria; Pseudomonadati; Pseudomonadota; Gammaproteobacteria; Enterobacterales; Enterobacteriaceae
Also listed under: 1 other name
Description: partial 23S ribosomal RNA
Rfam family: Bacterial large subunit ribosomal RNA
Source: RNAcentral